GACAGAGGGUGCAAACGUUGUUCGGAAUUACUGGGCGUAAAGCGCGUGUAGGCGGCUCUGCAAGUCGGAUGUGAAAUCCCACGGCUCAACCAUGGAAGUGCAUUCGAAACUGCAGGGCUAGAGUCCUGGAGAGGAAGGUGGAAUGCUUGGUGUAGAGGUGAAAUUCGUAGAUAUCAAGCGGAACACCGGUGGCGAAGGCGGCCUUCUGGACAGUGACUGACGCUGAGGCACGAAGGCCAGGGGAGCAAACGGG
This 253-nucleotide ribosomal RNA is filed under the name uncultured bacterium. Its description in RNAcentral is "partial 16S ribosomal RNA". It matches the Rfam family "Bacterial small subunit ribosomal RNA", at positions 524 to 776 of the family's 1533-position model. The record is from RNAcentral.